UACGUAGGGUGCGAGCGUUGUCCGGAAUUAUUGGGCGUAAAGAGCUCGUAGGCGGUCUGUCGCGUCGGUCGUGAAAACCUGCAGCUUAACUGUGGGCUUGCGGUCGAUACGGGCAUGACUGGAGUUCGGCAGGGGAGACUGGAAUUCCUGGUGUAGCGGUGAAAUGCGCAGAUAUCGGGAAGAACACCCGUGGCUAAGGCGGCUCUCUAGUACGGUACUGACGCUGAGACGCGAAAGCGUGGGGAGCGAACAGG
RNAcentral lists this ribosomal RNA (254 nucleotides) under uncultured bacterium. RNAcentral's name for it is "partial 16S ribosomal RNA". It matches the Rfam family "Bacterial small subunit ribosomal RNA", at positions 524 to 776 of the family's 1533-position model. The record is from RNAcentral.